This 1227-nucleotide long non-coding RNA is filed under the name Drosophila guanche. The record is from RNAcentral. Lineage: Eukaryota; Metazoa; Arthropoda; Insecta; Diptera; Drosophilidae.
GCAAUAUACUUGUUGUUGCUAGGAAUGGUAACUGUGUUCUUACUGGUCAGGGAUUUGACCUUAUCGUUGAGCUCUUGUAGAUUGGUAAAACUGCUUGCUCCUAAAAUACGAUUUAUUCUAUUGUGCAGCACUUUCUUCUCUUGAAUGGAGGCAUCUAAACCUUCGACUGUUAUGACGAUUGGGAAGUGGUUGCUGUUGGUUAUUUUGGAUUUAAGGGCUUGCCAGUCAAUUCUACCGUUCUUGUGAUUGGAAAAGGUGAGGUCAAGAACAGAGAAUUGGGAAGGGUUCCUGGAGAAAGUUGGAGAUCCGUCGUUAAGACAGAUAAAUCCCUCCUCACAAGUAGCAUUCUCGAUGAUGCGGCCCUUGCGGUCACUGGAAGGGUUUCUCCAGAUGGAAGACUUGGCGUUGAAAUCUCCUCCUACGACUGAAGGGUAGUCUAGGGACUCCGCAAGCUCGAACACCUUUUUAAUGCCCGAUUUGAAUUGGGAAAGUGUCAUUGAAGGCGCAGCGUAUGCGCUGAAUAUGUUGAGGUUGUUUUUGAGGUUCAGGGUCUUAAUACCUACGAUCUCUAGAUCACAGUCUAUUUUCAGAAUGCUAAAUCUAAUUUUCUUUCUCAUAUAGAUUCCUACUCCGCCGUAGCCGUCUUCUUUGGGCUUGCCGAUGAAGUUGUAAUCUAAGAUACUGCAGUCCUCAUUAUUUACAACCCAAAUCUCCGAAAGGAUUGAGAUGUCUCUUUCGUUGUUUAUUAGAAACAUAUUGAGGAGCUGUUUGUUGUUGUUGUAAGUCAGACUUUGAAUGUUUAGGUGAAGAAUCUUCAUUGUUUUUUGUUUGGGUAUCCCGCUUCCACCCCUUGCACAAUUUGCAAACUGUCGAGUUCAGCAUUGGAGGUGUUAACAUAAUCCAAGAUCUGUUGAAAAAACUUCUGCACCAAUUCCCUCUUGGAAAUAUUUCUGGGUUCCACCAGGAACUCUGUAAGCAUGGAUCCCAGUGCGUUAAGCUUUUCCUGAGCCACAGAUGAAACCACGGGCGUUGUUCUCACAAAUUUCUCUCUCAAUUGAGGGCUAUCUGCGUUGAUAGCGUUCCUCCAUUCUGCCAUGUUGGCAGCUGCCUUAGCCGACUCCAAAUUGCGGGCUGCCGCUCUUUUGGCUUUUGUCACCUCGGCGAACGAAGCAACCGAGUGAAUUUCCCUAGCUGCCUCAGUGUUGUUGUUUAGGCGUUCGGGGAGGA